RNAcentral lists this ribosomal RNA (744 nucleotides) under fungal sp. Its description in RNAcentral is "eukaryotic LSU rRNA". The stretch from base 244 to 397 matches the Rfam family "5.8S ribosomal RNA". The record is from RNAcentral. Lineage: Eukaryota; Fungi.
GGAUCAUUACUAGAGCAAAGGAUAGACAGCGCCCGCGGAGCUCGCUCCCGGGGCCACCCUACUCCGGUAGGGUUUAGAGUCGUCGGGCCUCUCGGAGAAGCUCGGUCCUGAACUCCACCCUUGAAUAAACUACCUUUGUUGCUUUGGCGGGCCGCCUCGUGCCAGCGGCUUCGGCUGUUGAGUGCCCGCCAGAGGACCACAACUCUUGUUUUUAGUGAUGUCUGAGUACUAUAUAAUAGUUAAAACUUUCAACAACGGAUCUCUUGGUUCUGGCAUCGAUGAAGAACGCAGCGAAAUGCGAUAAGUAAUGUGAAUUGCAGAAUUCAGUGAAUCAUCGAAUCUUUGAACGCACAUUGCGCCCUCUGGUAUUCCGGGGGGCAUGCCUGUUCGAGCGUCAUUAUAACCACUCAAGCUCUCGCUUGGUAUUGGGGUUCGCGGUUUCGCGGCUCCUAAAAUCAGUGGCGGUGCCUAUCGGCUCUACGCGUAGUAAUACUCCUCGCGAUUGAGUCCGGUAGGUCUACUUGCCAGCAACCCCUAAUUUUUUAAGGUUGACCUCGGAUCAGGUAGGGAUACCCGCUGAACUUAAGCAUAUCAAUAAGCGGAGGAAAAGAAACCAACAGGGAUUACCUCAGUAACGGCGAGUGAAGCGGUAACAGCUCAAAUUUGAAAGCUGGCUCUUUUAGGGUCCGCGUUGUAAUUUGUAGAAGAUGCUUCGGGUGUGGCCCCGGUCUAAGUUCCUUGUAC